UGGCUUCCCACUCCAGCUGCCUAGUGAUGGGGGCAGUAGGAAGGAUAGCACAGCUGCAGUAGCUGCAGGGCCACUGUCAUGGUUUGACCAGGAAGAAGUUGGGAAUUUUGGGAAGCUGUGGUCAAACCAAUGAAGGUUUUGGGUUUGAGACUGGCGUCCGGUGUGGCCAGUGGGGUUUGGACACACCUCCGAGAAUACACAGGGGUUAAAAGCAGGGCACUGCCCUGGCAUUUCUUCUUUGGACCUCGUGGGACGAGGAGUUCAGAUCUCUCCCCCGUCCGGCCCGCUGCUGCUGGGCGGGGGAGGGGCCAGCCAUGCGGUAAGGCCUGGACAGAGAUGGUGUUGAGGGGGCUUCGGGGGGGCUCCAAGGAUGGAAGGGUGGGGGAGCCCCAAGAGACAUCGAGCAGCCAGCGAGAAGGGGGAGGAAGACUGCCCGGCCGCAGCGGCAGCGUGUGGGCAGCGUGCGUGGGAGCCGACCGACAGACAGAGACUGAAAACUUUUAACCCUUUCUUACAUGAUUGGGGCCUUGCGAAAAUGCUAAUCCUCCUCGAAGCUGAAUAAGAAGGGAGAUGAGAGAUGAUAUGAGAUAAGAACUUUGGCCCGGAGUUUGUGGAGAUGAUUGGAUGGGGAGAGAUGAUUUGGAGUGGCCUUUUGGCUGGACGUUUUCUUGUAGCCAUGGACUCAGUUGUUCCUUGACACAGACUGCAUUUAGGGGGAGGCAGUGCCUCAAAACCAGGAGGGUUCAUUUGUGAGGACCCCCCGGCCCCAGGGGGUUGGAAAUAUAUGGGGGGGACAGUUGUCCCAAAAGCAGAGACUGUGCCUUUUUGGAGUGAGACAAGGCAUCCUUGAAAGACCACCCUAAAAGCAGCUCUGGCCAUGUCUCGGUGGUGAGAGCACUGAGCAUGGAAGGAACAUGUCACAAGCGGCAAAUGGACUUUCCGGGCGGUGCCGACGUGACAAGGAAGCAUCCGGGAUUUCAGUGUGUUUCCAGAAGCCUAUGGAACAAGAAGGACUCCGUUCCUCUUCAUGAACUGCAGUUUGAGUAUACUAAAGUGUCGUGCCGGGCUGGGCAGUUGGUAUUUUUGAGAGAAUGUAUUGGAUUGGGAAAGUCAGGGAGUGGGGAGGAGGAAAAGUGGUUUUUGUAAGGUUUUCAAUUUUUUUUUUCUUUUCCUUAUAGUCUUUCCUAUUUUUUUUUCCCUGUAGUUUUAGGUAAUAAAGUGUUAUUUAUGUUUAAGUUGGAGCCUGUU
RNAcentral lists this long non-coding RNA (1248 nucleotides) under Zonotrichia albicollis (white-throated sparrow). Its description in RNAcentral is "lncRNA (ENSZALG00000012526.1)". Lineage: Eukaryota; Metazoa; Chordata; Aves; Passeriformes; Passerellidae. The record is from RNAcentral.